GAUGAACGCUGGCGGCGUGCCUAACACAUGCAAGUCGAACGGAGUCCAGCUUUAGAGACCUUCGGGUCAAAGAGGGGAAGACUGAGUGGCGGACGGGUGAGUAACACGUGGGCAACCUGGCUCAUAGAGGGGGAUAACAGAGAGAAAUUUCUGCUAAUACCGCAUAAGCACACACUGCCGCAUGGCAGAGGGUGAAAAGAGAAUCGCUAUGAGAUGGACCCGCGUCUGAUUAGCCAGUUGGCAGGGUAAGAGCCUACCAAAGCGACGAUCAGUAGCCGAUCUGAGAGGAUGAACGGCCACAUUGGGACUGAGACACGGCCCAAACUCCUACGGGAGGCAGCAGUGGGGGAUAUUGCACAAUGGGGGGAACCCUGAUGCAGCGACGCCGCGUGAGUGAAGAAGUAUUUCGGUAUGUAAAGCUCUAUCAGCAGGGAAGAUAAUGACAGACCUGAAUAA
This 456-nucleotide ribosomal RNA is filed under the name Oribacterium sp. oral taxon 372. RNAcentral's name for it is "bacterial SSU rRNA". It matches the Rfam family "Bacterial small subunit ribosomal RNA", at positions 28 to 464 of the family's 1533-position model. Lineage: Bacteria; Bacillati; Bacillota; Clostridia; Lachnospirales; Lachnospiraceae. The record is from RNAcentral.